GUUGCGGUUAUGAGCUGCUAACAUGUAAGAAGAGGUCGCUUUCAUAGUGGUGUCUCCAAUGAAAUCCUUUUAUCAUGGUUGACUUCUGAGCAUU
Small nucleolar RNA from Cucumis melo (muskmelon), 94 nucleotides. RefSeq annotates it as small nucleolar RNA R24. The transcript has a single exon. The record is from RefSeq and is a predicted model, not a curated record. NCBI's taxonomy places the organism in Eukaryota, Viridiplantae, Streptophyta, Magnoliopsida, Cucurbitales, Cucurbitaceae.